CAUCCAUAGCUUACCCAAGCAUCUAGGAAGGUAGUCAAGGACUGCACAUCUAGAUAUUUUAAAAAGGAGUCUGUGUCAAGGAUUCAUUAAACUCAUGAAGGACUCAGCAGAAUGGUGAAGCUGUUUCAAAGAAGAUUUAAGAAACUAGGUAUAUAACGUCAUUGAAAGGAUACUGGAAUGAGAUUGCUAAGUCAUAUAUAAAAUAAACCAUGACAUCUGGGUCAUAAUAGUUCCAUUUGCAUCUCUCCAGAAAUUAAUUUCAUUUUCACUCCUUUUAGACUAGAAUAAUUUACAUCUCUGCUUUCUACGAGUUAACAUCUACCCUUACAGAGUUGAAAAAUAUCUGAAAUAGUAAACAGCAAGUCACACAGAGGUGCACACUCCUAGAGAAUCAGAAUAACUCUGGGCAGGCUGUUAGACAAUGCUCAACACAACACUGAAAAAAGAGGCAGAAAUCCCGUUGUCUUUUUCCAGGUUUUGGACACAUUGUCCAACAGCCAUCCUUGUGAUCAUAAUUCCUGAAGAUAAUUCUUGAUCACAAAAGCUAGUCUUAUUUUAUUUUGUUCUGAUUCAUUAACAUUGGUUCAGCAAAAAGUGUUAAUUAAACACAAAUUUCCUUGACGUAUGGUCAGCAAACCCAGUGCCAUGAGGUGUUGUGCUUAGGGUUUUGACUAGGGCCAAAAUAUUACCUUCUGUCUGGAGAACGUAUGUGGAAUCUAGUAGUGGCUUCUCAGUAGGCCAGAGACGUUUUUGUUGUUCUUAUUGGCAGUCAUGUUUUGAAGCUAGAAAACCAAACCCAAGAAAUUCAUUUCUAUCCAUUUUUCCCGGAGUACCUGUAAAUGCAGAUGAAUUUCUCUCUUGCUGUGAAAUUUCCAAAUCCACUAAGGUAUCUGAUCUGCCAAGAAAUGACUCUUUCUGCCACCUAAAAUUCUAGGAUCCAGAAAUCCAUAAAACAGGUGCCAGUCGGGUCUCCUAAAAGGGCUUUCUUUGUGAGCCUUCGUUCCACGUAUGAAGCACAACACCUGUUCCCCAGUGGGAGGCAUAUCAUGUCUGACUAAAUGAGACUUAUUCUCAUGUGACACUUUAUGUAUUUGGCUUUGGUUACACAAUUUUUCUAACCAUACCCUGCUUAAACAAAUAAACAAAUAAAACUUAUUGACUUGUUAAAAAACUAUCUUCUUUUGAAAUCAGAGAUUUAGUUAAAAAAAAAAAAAGCCAUUUGUCUCUGAAUUUGACAAUGUUUUAAAUAAUGGUUCAUUUCAGUUUGCAAAGACAUAGUCUAAAAUACGGAUCAGCAAAGUUUUACUGUAAAAGACCAGAUAAUAAAUGUUUUCAGUUUUGUGAGCCAUGAGUCUACUGCAAGAUUUGUGCUCAGAUCUGCCAUUGUAGCAUGAAAGAAGCCAUAGACAGCAUGUAAACAAUGGGCACACAGAUUAGAUUUGACCUGUGGCAAGCUGGAUCUGGACCAGGGAUUACAGUUUUCUUAUCCCUAGUUUAAAGUAAAGGUUAGGCAUUGAUCAAGAAGAAAGAGAAAGGGCUUCAUUCUAUGUCCAUGAGAAAAUAGAACAGUACACACAAUACCAGUACAUAAGAAGAGGAUAAAUAAUAUCCCAAUACAAAUAACCACAACUACGUUCACCUUAUCAGUUCACUCAGUUCCAUGUAACUAAUUCUUGUUGCUCUGAAUAUUGAAUUUGCAGUCUGUUUUUACAAAGUGGCUGCUUCUGGAUUAAAAAAAAGUCCUGGAGAUCCUGAUUCAGUCCUCUCCUGAAAUCUGCAGUUGUCUAAGUGGUGUCAGCGUGUAAGUUUGUACCCAAAAUCUAUUAUCUAAAGUAUCAGCAGGUAAGAGGAACUUGUUCUUUCCAUUAAGGCUCUGAGGAUGCCUAUCUUGUUAAAACACCAACUUUUUAACCUGUAGCUUAUAGCAGGGUCUUCGGUUAAGCAUGAGAAGAAAGCCAGAAGUUGAUAAGCCUGAGCGUUAGUGAUUUUUUUAUAGUAAUCAACAAUAUUAGAAGGGAAGAAAGCAAAAGCAUCUGUAAGAAUGAUAUAACAGUAACCGUGUAACUAUUUUACAAGAUUUGGGUCAAUGUUACGCCUGAGAGUAAGAACAUAUCACAGACAGUGAGGGCAUCGACAGCCCUUCGGGACACUCCUAAGAUGUACAGCCUCAGAGAGAAAAUUAACCCGGCAGAGCGGAGAGGCGUCUUUCUUCAUAUAGCUCUUUCCUAGCUCUCAGGUAGCUCUCACCUUUAUUUUUUCCCCUUGACUCCAUCCUUUGCCCUUUUCUCUUAUCAAUUGUGGGCUCUCCCUGAGAGAUUUUCUUUCUCUUGAUUUAAUAUCAAGUGUCACAUACUAACCAUUUGUAUUUUUAGAAAUCUUGCCCAACCUUGUCAUCUGCCUCUGGGACAGCUCCAUCAGAGGUCUUAGAAUCAUUGAAAUCUCAACCUGUUCAAAGAGGAACUUAUUCGGUCAUCCAUUCUGGUCCUGAUGGGGUGACUGAUCGGCCACAAGCAAAUAUGAAACAGGGCAAUAUAUGUGAAGAAAUGAGUUUUAGGCACUGAAAAGCACAUAAUCCCAGACUGCGCUCCUUGAAAGAAGGGAAAGACUCCAAGCGAACCACACAGUGAUCCUGCUUGCUGCCUGAGGCACCUUUGGGACAUCAGUGUCGUGUGGAGUACAGCGGUUUCUUCUGGUUCCUUAGCUGAGAGCUUGGCUGCACAUUUGCAGGGCGAGGCUUCCUGAGGCUUAGGAGAGAGUGGCUGCGAUGAGCUAGCAGUCAUCUGGUGCUGUGAGACAUUGAAGUCUGGCCCAUCCCAGAUGGAAUGUCUUCAGUUAACAUUGCAAGGGUUCAGUUAGGAACUCGUAAAAGGCCACAUGCUAGGAUUAAGGACCAUGCCCUAGAGCAGGGGUCAGGGAACUACGGCCAAAUUUGGCUUGAGGCAUGUUUUUGUGUGACCUGUGAGCUAAGAAUAAUAAUUACAUCAUUACAAGUGUUAUUCAGAUGCAGGAGGAGUAGCAGCAGGAGCUGGAAGAAGAUGAAAGGAGAACAAGAAAAAGACAGAGACCAUAUAUUGCUCACAAGAGUUAAAAUAUUUACUACCUGGUUUUUUAUAGACAACAUUUGCCAACCUCUGAAAGAGAGCAAAAGCCAUGUCCUGGGACCAAGGAUAAACAUGAAACAGAACCAUCCUAACAAGAAUAAAACCAAACCAGAGAAAGAAAAUUUGCCAAUGAUUUAGCCUUUUUGCAGAACAGAACCAACCUUCUUUAAAGAAAAUAAUAUAAUCCACACUCCUUAGACAUCAUCCACAAUGUUCAACAUGCAAUAAAAAGUUGUUAGACUAUGAGCAAUUAGAACUAUGCUCCCUAUGAUCAAAGGGAAAAAACACUAGUCAAUGGAUAUAGACUUGGAUAUGACCCAAAUGUUGUACUUAGCAGACUAGGACUUUGAAACUGCCAUUACAAAAAUGUUCAAAGAC
This 3479-nucleotide long non-coding RNA is filed under the name Sus scrofa (pig). Its description in RNAcentral is "lncRNA (ENSSSCG00000059675.1)". The record is from RNAcentral. Lineage: Eukaryota; Metazoa; Chordata; Mammalia; Artiodactyla; Suidae.